ACCACCGCACGCAACCGUGCUCAGCCCUGCCGCGAGCCACCGCUGUCCGCCGGCCAGCACUCCCCUUAAACUCUUGAAUUGGCGGAGAAUUCUCUUUAGGCGACUUUUGAAAGUGUUAAAGUGGCCUAUCAAUUUGUUUAUACAAGUCUCUAAGGAUCAAUAAGCGUUGCCCAUCUACAGGUUUGAAGAUGAUGCAUCAUUGGGAUCGGGAUUAGAGAGCUUGUAGUUCUAUUUGUUUAAUUAAGUGAUUUAAUUUGUUAACUUGGAUUUGAAAUUUG
Spinacia oleracea (spinach) is the source of this 278-nucleotide long non-coding RNA. RefSeq lists it as uncharacterized. Lineage: Eukaryota; Viridiplantae; Streptophyta; Magnoliopsida; Caryophyllales; Amaranthaceae. The transcript has 3 exons. The record is from RefSeq and is a predicted model, not a curated record.